GACGAACGCUGGCGGCGUGCCUAACACAUGCAAGUCGAACGGAGAUACGAUUUCAGUUGUAUCUUAGUGGCGAACGGGUGAGUAACGCGUGAACAACCUGACUCUUAGAGGGGGAUAACACUCGGAAACGGGUGCUAAUACCGCAUAAGACCACGACCCGGCAUCGGGAUGAGGUCAAAGGAGCAAUCCGCUGAGAGAGGGGUUCGCGUCCCAUUAGAUAGAUGGCGGGGUAACGGCCCACCAUGUCAACGAUGGGUAGCCGAGCUGAGAGGCUGAUCGGCCACACUGGAACUGAGACACGGUCCAGACUCCUACGGGAGGCAGCAGUGGGGAAUAUUGGGCAAUGGGCGCAAGCCUGACCCAGCAACGCCGCGUGAGGGAAGAAGGCUUUCGGGUUGUAACCCUCUGUCCUUGGUGACGAAACGAAUGACGGUAGCCAAGGAGGAAGCCCCGGCUAACUACGUGCCAGCCGCCGCGGUAA
Molecule: ribosomal RNA, 481 nt
Filed under: uncultured bacterium
Lineage: Bacteria
Description: partial 16S ribosomal RNA
Rfam family: Bacterial small subunit ribosomal RNA
Source: RNAcentral